UCAUUCCAAUAUGGAUUGAGGCAGACGACUUCAGCCCAUGUUGAUUUCUCAAGUAAAAUGUAGCUUCUUAGUGCCAUCUUGUGGUACAACACCGUAUGUCUUAUAAACAUUUACGUUUCCUUACAUUUUAUGAUUACUACCACUCCUGUUAUUUAGAUCCUUCAAAUAAUAUAAAUACUGAUACAGUAGCUGGCCAAAUAUUUAAGAGCUGAUAAACUAAGAAAGUCUUGAAAUAUAGCAGAAUGACCCUAUUAGCUACCAUUUACAGCAGGAGAGGAUUAUGGGUACAAGAAUUAUGCUGAUAAACUGUGUGUCUAUUACUAUUUCUCCCAGUAACAAUACUCUCUCUCUAUACCUCUUUAUCUCUGACAACACAGGGGGGAACAUAUUUAACCAGAACCUAAGAAAAGUGGUUCCCCCUCUGUUUAUUACUGCUGGAGAGGAUUAUGGGUACAAUAAUUAUGCUGAUAAACUGUGUGUCUAUUACUAUUUCUCCCAGUAACAAUAUUCUCUUUCUAUACCUCUUUAUCUCUGAGAACACAGGGGGGAACAUUUCUCCAGAACCUAAGAAAAGUGGUUCCCCCUAGAGGAUUUAAUAUAAAGUAAUCAUGCUGAUAAACUAUAUAUCUAGUACAGUUUCACAUAGUAACUUUACUUUAUAUAUGUACCCCAUUUACACUGAGAACACAGGGAACACAUUUAACCAGAGUCUGGGAAAAGUGGUUCCCUUAUAGUUUAAUAAAGCUGGAGUGUAUAAAAGGAACAUUAUUGAUGCUGAAAAACUAUAUAUAGAUUACCAUUUCACUCAGCAAAUUUAAUACUAUCUGCAUCACCUUUACACUGAGAAUACAAGGGGAACACAUUUUACCAGAGCCCCAGAAAAAUGUUUUAUUCUUUAUUCUUGGUUCAUUCAGUUUUUUUGUUGUUGCACUGAUCCUUUUUGAAGUAUGUAUUCAACCCAGGCAAAAUUAAAAGCAAUAGAUAGUAAUAGAUUACACUUGUUAUAAAAUGAAUGCACUUUUAUGUAAGUUCAUCAGUUCAAUAAUUCUCUAAUAAUACUCUACCAGCUUCCUUGUUUUAACAUUAAAUAUGAGAGUGUAUGGAGGAACAGAUUUGCUCUGUGCCUUUAAAAAGUUUUGGACCAAAAGGAUAAUUUUACUGUGAUACAAACUAUGUUCUGUAAUAAUUAGCAUUUUGCCUUUCUCACAUUUCCUGCUUCCGGAAAUAUGACGUUGAGCAAUGCAGUGGUCUCGCGCUUCCGGUUUUAGAUUUGCAAUGACCGAAUCCUCUCGCCGGUGUUACUGCAGCGUUCCUGCUUGCUCUAACUCGAAACAGAGACACCCCUACCUCAGUUUUCAUGAUUUUCCCAAAGACGAAGGCUUGCGAAAGUCCUGGGUGAGAUUAAUAAGGAGGGACGAGGGUCUGUUUUUUAAUAUACUCCGCGGGAGCACCCACGUAUGUAGCCUGCACUUUGACAGUGCAGACAUUUACGUUUCAAAAAGUGGCAGAAAACGCUUAAAACCUGGAGCUUUGCCUCGCCGUUUUGCCUGGAACAACUGGGGAAAGGACCAGACAUCUCGGGAGUCCGCCUUCGAUCGCGCUAGAGCUCGUCUUGGAGUUGACGUUCGUGCAGAGAAUGUUGCUACUCAGGCUAACCAUACAGCCGAUGAAGCUAACCAAGUUUCAGCUGUGGAUGAAGAGGACGAGCUAUAACCUACAACAGACCAUAACUACUGUGCGUGCUCUCAUCCUUCAGGUGACUCUGCUGCUGAAAGGAUCAGAGAAUUGGAAGCCAGGGUCAGAGAAUUAGAAUCUCAACUCCAGGACAUGUCUGCCACAACACUGCAAAUCAACAGAUAUUGUUCAACUGAUGAAGAGUUCAGAUUUUACACACGGUUUACAUCAGAGAAAGUCUUUUUGAUUUUCUGGGAUUCUGUCACCCCCUCAGCAUCAAGGUUAGUCUACUGGAGUAAGGCACAGAGGGUUGAGGAUGUCAUGGAAAUUGAGAAACCAAGUCCAAACCGGAGACUAGCACUUGUGGAUGAAUUCUUCAUGUACUGCUGCCGUGUUGCUGUUGGCCUAAAGAAAAGGUCUUAGCCGACAUCUUUGGAGUCAGCACUGCAACUGUAAACAGAGUAAUAACAUGGGCCAACUAUUUGUACCUUGUCUUAGGAUCAAUGCCAAUCUGGAUGUCGAGGGAGCAAGUUCAAGCAACAAUGCCGUUACACGGUACUGUUUAAACGUGAGGGUGAUUCUGGACUGUACCGAAGUCAGAUGUGAAACACAAUCAUCUCUUACUCUCCAGUCUGAAACAUUUUCAGCAUACAAAAAUCACACCACUUUCAAAGCAUUGAUAGGUGUGGCCCCAUGUGGUGUGAUCACAUUUGUUUCAAAGCUUUUCACAGGCUCAAUAUCUGACCAAGAAAUUACAAGGCAGUCUGGAAUUCUCACAUUACUGGAGCCAGGAGAUGCAUGCAUGGCAGACAAGGGCUUCAUUAUUGACCAGAUGCUGUCUGAGGUUGGUGCAAGUCUCAUUAUCCCCCCUUUCAAACGAGGUACCUGCUUCAGCAAAGAGGAAACAGAAAAAACACAAGCAAUAGCUCGUCUCCGGAUCCUGGUGGAGAGAGCUAUCAGGAGAGUCAAGGAAUACCACAUUUGGGACACAACCAUUCCUCUGACCCUCUCAGGCUCAGUCAAUCAGCUAUGGACUAACUGCUGUUUAAUGACAAAUUACCAAGGACCG
Molecule: long non-coding RNA, 2743 nt
Organism: Astyanax mexicanus (Mexican tetra)
Lineage: Eukaryota; Metazoa; Chordata; Actinopteri; Characiformes; Acestrorhamphidae
Exons: 2
Source: RefSeq, a predicted model, not a curated record